RNAcentral lists this ribosomal RNA (465 nucleotides) under uncultured bacterium. Its description in RNAcentral is "partial 16S ribosomal RNA". It matches the Rfam family "Bacterial small subunit ribosomal RNA", at positions 28 to 507 of the family's 1533-position model. The record is from RNAcentral.
GACGAACGCUGGCGGCGUGCUUAACACAUGCAAGUCGAACGGAAAGGCCCUGCUUGCCGGGUACUCGAGUGGCGAACGGGUGAGUAACACGUGGGUGAUCUGCCCUGCACUUCGGGAUAAGCCUGGGAAACUGGGUCUAAUACCGGAUAGGAGCCAUUUUUAGUGUGAUGGUUGGAAAGUUUUUUCGGUGUAGGAUGAGCUCGCGGCCUAUCAGCUUGUUGGUGGGGUAAUGGCCUACCAAGGCGGCGACGGGUAGCCGGCCUGAGAGGGUGGACGGCCACAUUGGGACUGAGAUACGGCCCAGACUCCUACGGGAGGCAGCAGUGGGGAAUAUUGCACAAUGGGCGCAAGCCUGAUGCAGCGACGCCGCGUGGGGGAUGACGGCCUUCGGGUUGUAAACGCCUUUCGCUAGGGACGAAGCUUUUUGCGACGGUACCUAGAUAAGAAGCACCGGCUAACUACGUG